UUGAACGCUGGCGGCAGGCCUAACACAUGCCAGUCGAGCGGAUGAAGGGAGCUUGCUCCUGGAUUCAGCGGCGGACGGGUGAGUAAUGCCUAGGAAUCUGCCUGGUAGUGGGGGAUAACGUCCGGAAACGGGCGCUAAUACCGCAUACGUCCUGAGGGAGAAAGUGGGGGAUCUUCGGACCUCACGCUAUCAGAUGAGCCUAGGUCGGAUUAGCUAGUUGGUGGGGUAAAGGCCUACCAAGGCGACGAUCCGUAACUGGUCUGAGAGGAUGAUCAGUCACACUGGAACUGAGACACGGUCCAGACUCCUACGGGAGGCAGCAGUGGGGAAUAUUGGACAAUGGGCGAAAGCCUGGUCCAGCCAUGCCGCGUGUGUGAAGAAGGUCUUCGGAUUGUAAAGCACUUUAAGUUGGGAGGAAGGGCAGUAAGUUAAUACCUUGCUGUUUUGACGUUACCAACAGAAUAAGCACCGGCUAACUUCGUG
Molecule: ribosomal RNA, 483 nt
Filed under: uncultured bacterium
Lineage: Bacteria
Description: partial 16S ribosomal RNA
Rfam family: Bacterial small subunit ribosomal RNA
Source: RNAcentral